This 540-nucleotide ribosomal RNA is filed under the name Callichirus sp. 1 FLM-2012. RNAcentral's name for it is "partial 16S ribosomal RNA". It matches the Rfam family "Bacterial large subunit ribosomal RNA", at positions 1819 to 2625 of the family's 2925-position model. Lineage: Eukaryota; Metazoa; Arthropoda; Malacostraca; Decapoda; Callianassidae. The record is from RNAcentral.
GUCUGUUYGUCGUCAAAGAACAGUYUGGCCUGCCCACUGAUUUUUUUUAAAGGCCGCGGUAUCCUGACCGUGCGAAGGUAGCAUAAUAAUUAGUCUUUUAAUUGAAGACUGGAAUGAAAGGUCGGACAAAAAGCAAUCUGUCUCAACUUUAAUUUUUGAAUUUAACUUUUAAGUGAAAAGGCUUAAAUAAUCUUGAAGGACGACAAGACCCUAUAAAACUUUAUAUAUCAGGAUCUUAAAUUCGGCUUUAUUUGUCUAUAAAUUAUUUAUUAUCCUAUGUAUUUCGUUGGGGCGACGAAAGUAUAAACCUAACUGCUUUUUUUUAAAACAAUUAUUUUUGGAAUCAACGACCCUUGUUUUAAAGAUUCAAAGAAAAAGUUACUUUAGGGAUAACAGCGUAAUUUUUUUUGAGAGUUCAUAUCGACAAAAAAGUUUGCGACCUCGAUGUUGAAUUAAAUUUCCCUUAUAGUGCAGGAAUUAUACAGGUAGGUCUGUUCGACCUUUAAAAAUUUACAUGAUUUGAGUUCAAACCGGCGCGAG